CGGGCUUGGAGGAGGUGGCCCCAGCUAAGGAAACAGCAGGUGUCUGGUGGCCUGACAUGCACCGCCUGGCUGACCGCAUCCACCUGGAGGAGCUGGCCCACAUGGGCAUCCUGAGCGGCAGCGUGGACGCCAUGGUCCAGGCUCACCUGGGGGCCGUGUUUAUGCCUCACGGGCUCGGCCACUUCCUGGGCAUUGACGUGCACGACGUGGGAGGCUACCCAGAGGGCGUGGAGCGCAUCGACGAGCCCGGCCUGCGGAGCCUGCGCACUGCACGGCACCUGCAGCCAGGCAUGGUGCUCACCGUGGAGCCGGGCAUCUACUUCAUCGACCACCUCCUGGACGAGGCCCUGGCGGACCCGGCCCGCGCCUGCUUCUUUAACCGCGAGGUCCUGCAGCGCUUUCGCGGUUUUGGCGGGGUCCGCAUCGAGGAGGACGUCGUGGUGACUGACAGCGGCAUGGAGCUGCUGACCUGCGUGCCCCGCACUGUGGAAGAGAUUGAAGCGUGCAUGGCAGGCUGUGACAAGGCCUUUACCCCCUUCUCUGGCCCCAAGUAGAGCCAGCCAGAAAUCCCAGCACACCUGGGGGCCCGGCCUUGCAACCUCUUUUCACGAUGGGCAGCCUGCUGGUCAGCACUCCAGUAGCGAGAGACGGCACCCAGAAUCAGAUCCCAGCGUCGGCAUUUGAUCAGACCAAACAGCGCUGUUUCCUGGGGAGGAAACUUUUUUAAUUACCCUUUUGCAGGCUCCCACCUUUAAUCUGUUUUAUACCUUGCUUAUUAAAUGAGCGACUUAAAAUGAUUGAAAAUAAUGCUGUUCUUUAGUAGCAACUAAAAUGUGUCUUGCUGUCAUUUAUAGUCCUUUUCCCAGGAAAGAAGCAUUUCUGAUACUUUCUGUCAAAAAUCAAUAUGCAGAAUGGCAUUUGCAAUAAAAGAGUUCCUAAAA
RNAcentral lists this small RNA (941 nucleotides) under Pongo abelii (Sumatran orangutan). Its description in RNAcentral is "processed transcript". Lineage: Eukaryota; Metazoa; Chordata; Mammalia; Primates; Hominidae. The record is from RNAcentral.